CCCAGCGAAAAGAUUGUUUGAAUUUAUAUAAUAUCAAUAUUGAAAGCGUUUAAUUAUUUGAAUUUAUUUCCCUUCAUUUAUUUAGGACACCGUAUAGAAUGACAUACGAUAUUUUUGUUAUGCAAAUUAAGUCCACUUAGUGGAGUUCGGUGCAUAGGUGCGUUGACGUGUCACUCCAUUUUUGAAAGGUUCAGGAGUCAGACGCCAGUAUCGGCCUCCGCAGUUUGGGGGAAACUUUCUGUUGUUUAAUGUGAUUUAAACGUGGUUUUAUGUCCCGCCAGAAAAGAGUAAGUGUUUUUGAAUUCAUUAGAUCCUUUAUGUUUUCCAUAUAUGUCAGAUAAAUUAAAUAAAGUCAAUUUGUAGUGUCUCGAUUUGCCCUGUUUAGGAAUGAGAGCAGGGCGUGUAGGUUUUUGACCCGGUUUUCGGCCCGGUUCCCGGUUCUGGUUUCGGAUUUCCGGUUUUCAGUUUUUGUCUAGAUUCAUUAUAAAUUAUGCUAAUUGAAAGAGUUGAUCCACGAAAGUAAAAAUUGUAUGUUUGUAUUGAGAACUUAUUUGCGAAAUUAAUGAAAAGGAAAAUAAUGAUAUUAUGAUUUUGAUAUAACAGAGAAGAAUAUUAUUCACAUAAACAGAUAAACAUAAUGGACACUAAAUCAAAACAAGUUUUGAUCUGAAAUCAAAUCAUUUCAGAAUCAAGUGAAUGUUUAACUUCAUUGAUGUAUACUAAGAAAGUAUUUGGCUAUUACUCUAAAAGUACAUGUCGUAUUUUAAUUGCUGGCAAAAGAAUUAUUUAAUGUAGUAUAGCCACUUGUUACUGUUUGUGAAAAGAAUUAGAAACAAAUGCAUAUAAGCCUUGACGAGUUAUGAUUUAAGUUGAAUUAUAUACUAGUAUAUGCAAGAUAAGUAAAGUUAUUUUAAAUCAACGUGUGCAUAGCUAAAAGAAAUUGACUAAGUUAAAGAAAGUUGUGAUUAUUCAAAGCUACAAGAAUUUUACAGAUAUUGUUUCUGUUCUUUCGACAUGUUUGAUCAAACAGACAGUAAAUUAUAAUAAUAAUUUCGAUAACAAUUCGGUUUGAUAAUCAUGAUUAUACUGUUUUAAGGGACAAUAGACAAUGAGUGUUCGUGUGUAAAAACAAUGAAAUAAUUACACGUGAAACAAGAUGCAGUGUGAUAAAACAAUCUUACUUAUUAACAUGCUAUUAACUGAACAUCAGUUAUGUAAACAAAGACUUAUUAUUGUUUUAUAUAUUUUGUUCAAACAGAUCGAAUAAAAUAUACGUUUAACGACGUUAUAUAUCGGUACGGCGGGAUGUGACGGUUUGUGUUCCUUCUUUCGACUAUCCAUCGCAUUCGAUUCUUUUUCCUGAUCUGGGUUAGAAGAUAGAGGGAAUUCCGGAAACAAUGGCAACCGAGCAAGCAUAUAGGGAUCUCAAGAUCAAGCGGAGAACGGCAAAGGCAAAACUAACUCGGCUGUCGAAUGGUUUGCAACAUUUACUGGAUGAUGACAGGGAUCUUGAUGAGGUAACUGAUAUGUUUAAGGAUUUGAAUGUUGCUUAUCAGGAAUUGGAGGACAGGCACGAAAGGUAUUGUGAGACAAUCGUAGAUGAUGAGGUAUUCAUGACAGAGGAUGCCUGGCUAUCUGAGUGUCAGACAUCAUUCCUUGACAUGCAGAGAAAGGUUAAAGACUAUGGCAAGACUAAGGUUAAGUCUGACAGGUCAACGGAGGAUUCAGUUGUAAACACGGCUACUCCCGAAGUUACUACCAGUAAAUCGGAAGAGGUUUCGUCAUGCAAGGUUCAGGUAGAGCGACCAAAGCUGCCUCGAUUUACUGGAGACGUACGAGACUACAUGACAUUUAAAUCGGAUUUUAAGCAUCUAAUCGAAUCGAGGUAUAGCAAAAGAGAUGCUAUCACAAUUCUGAGAUCCUCUCUAGUGGGAAAACCUCUUGAUCUCAUACGUGGUUUGGGGAACGAUUACGACUCGGCAUGGUCUCAUCUUGACAACAUUUACGGAGACCCGAGAUUGGUAGCUGAUGCUAUCGUAUAUGACUUGGGGAAGUUCCGACCUCUCAAGGAUGGAGAGGAUGGCCGAUUCUGUGACCUUGUUCAUCUUAUCAGGAGAAGUUACAACUCACUGCAAGAAGUAGGUAGGGCGAAUGAUAUGGACAACAAUCAUAUGAUUUCUUUGAUAGAGAGAAAAUUAAGCAGUGAUGAUAGAAAGCUAUGGCUGAGAUUCAUUGACCGUGAGCGAACAGAUGCAUCACUCCAUGCAUUACUUUAUUGGAUGGAACUGGAAUUGAAGACUAGAAUAAGGGCAUCUGCUCCACUUCGUGACAGUAGAAGUUCUACGAUUGGCCAUAUCUCUCAGGAUGACGGAAGCAAUGAAAGAAAGCCCGAUUUUAAAUGCUGGUUAUGUGAGACGUCUGAUCAUUGGAUCGAUCAGUGCAAGAAAGUGCUUUCGAAAACCCAAGAAGAGCGAUUUCAACUGAUGAAAGACAACAGGGCGUGCUUCAGCUGUCUCAAGAGAGCUGGUAAGGAUCACAACAUGGGGACAUGCAAGCGCAGGAAAAGAUGUAAUGAGGUGAUCAAUACUGGUGAGCAGUGUUCAUCCUACCACCACCCUUUACUCCAUAAGCAGAUUGAGACAGGGAGUGUGGGUGUUGCCAGUAUUACAGGAACAUCUGCGCUUCUGCCUGUACUUAAGAUAAAGAUGGCGGGCCCGAAUGGAAAUUGCGAAGGAAAUUGUCUCCUAGACUCGGGAUCUCAGAUGAGUCUCGUAAGGAACGCAGUAGCAGAAGAGUUAGGACUGAAAGGGAAUCCUAUUGUCGCGAAUGUUACCAAGGUCGGAAAUGAAACAGAGGAAUACAACACUAUGCUGUACAAGGUGAAAGUUCAAGGGAUUAAUGGUCAUCAGAGUUACACUAUUUCUGCGGUAGGACUUGAUGUAAUUAAUAACGGCAUUACCCGAGUUAGUGUUGAAGAACUGGGACGGAUGUUCAACCUGAGGAAAGAUGAAAUUCACAGAGGAAGUGGGCCAAUUGAUAUCCUCAUAGGAAUUGACCAUUCCAAGAUGCAUGUAGGGUACACGAAAAGACAAGGGAAUCUCGUGGCCCGUCGCUCGCCGUUAGGCUGGGUCAUUUUCGGAAGUACUACAGAAGGAUACCCAGAAGGAGCAGUUCUCCAUGUCACGGUAAACAGCCCUUUAGAUCUCCGAAAAUCCUUGACAACAGAAGGAAUGAAAGUAUGUAAUGAUCCACAGAGAUGUCAGCACAGUAGGAUGACUGAACAAGAAGCUGAGGAGUUUCGAGUCAUCAGUUCUUCAUGUGAAAAGAUGGAAAAGCAAUGGCUCGACCAAUAUCCUCGGCGGAAAGACCAGUCGCGGCAUAUUCCCCAGAAUGUGAGUGUCGCAGAUGAAGUCAGCAGAUGUGUUAGCCUGGACAAGCUGAAUAACAGGGAGAUGGAAGGUCUUGACUUUCUUUGUAAAACAGUGACAGAACGGCCCGCAGAAGCAAAGCUAGAGGAAAAGCUUCCUGAGGUAGACAGGGAAUUGCGAAUGGAGAGACCAGUUCUGACCGUACAAGAAUCAAAAUCCCAACAUAGAAUUGACUGUCAGCAAUUGAUUAACUGGAGGAAACUUGUGAGGGUGACUUCAUACGUCCUGAAGUUCAUUGGAAAGUUGAAGUCAAAGUCCAAGAGAAUGGUAGAUGAGGACGUCGAAGUCGCCAAUGGUAACCUGACACCAACUGACAUACAGAAAGGAGAGGACCAUUUGAUAAAGCGUGCUCAGGUAUCUUUGAAGCCCAGAGUAGACAAAGGAGAGCUAAAGGCACUCAAUCCGUAUAGGAAUGAAGCGGGAAUUAUCCGAGUUCGAGGGAAAGUAGAUAGUGCUGACAAUCCAUUAGCCAUGAAGCAUCCGGCUUUACUCCCUUGCGAACACAGGAACUCAACCUUGAUUACUAGGCAUGUUCAUGAGGAUGGUCGUGACGAUGUUGCUAUGACUACUGCAAAGGCCAGGAGAAAGUACUGGAUAUUGAGAGCACAUGAUCUGGCCAAGAAGGUAAAGUUCGGAUGUGCAGCUUGCAGAACUUUUGAACACAAACUAGAAUCACAGGGGAUGGCGGAGCUGCAGAGAGGAAGGCUGCAGUCGCAUCCACUGCCAUUCCAAUACUCAUCUUGCAAUUACCAGAGGCCAAUUUGCAGAAUACCCAUAGAGCCUGAUGAGGGGAUCUACUUAAGUCCUAAUGACAUGCUGUUAGGACGAGCUUCAAUUGAUGUAGCUCAACGAGAAAGACAUUGCGUCGAACUGGUACAACGGAUUGUUGACUCAUUCUUGCGUCGAUGGACCAUAGUUAUUCUGCCACUACUAACAUCCGGACGGAAAUGGAACAGGGAUCGUCAGAACAUUCGCGUGGAUGACGUGGUUAUGAUGACAAACUCCAACGCAGUGCGUGGAAAAUGGACAAUCGCGCGUGUCGUUCAAGCGUAUCCAGGACAAGAGGGUAAAAUUCGCAAUGUGAACGUAAAGACAUUAAAUGCAGAAUAUCCCCGACCAAUAACGUAAAUUGGACUGAUAUGUCCUGCGGAAGAAAUGAAGACUAAACUCAAAGAAGAGAAGAAUCAGAAGAUGAAAGGUGAAGAAAGAAGAUGAAGAAAAAGAAUAGUAAAGUUUAAUGUAAUGUAUGACUCAUGAGACUAACAAUAUCUAAUCCAUCUCGAACUAAUCAUGACAAAGUCUAACAAAAUGAAGAGACUAACCAUAAUGUUAAAUACAACACUGAAUGUAACCAUGGUGACGAUAAUUGCAAUGCAAGUUUAACUAAAUAAGAGAAAGUAAGCAUGUAACUUUGUAAUUUAAUAUUUACUAUGUAACUUUAAUUCAAUAUUGACUUUGAAAGUUAAGGACAGGUAAUAUGUGUUGUUAUGAGGAAACAAGACAUUCCUCAUAGGGCGGGGAGGAUGUUUCGCCCAGCGAAAAGAUUGUUUGAAUUUAUAUAAUAUCAAUAUUGAAAGCGUUUAAUUAUUUGAAUUUAUUUCCCUUCAUUUAUUUAGGACACCGUAUAGAAUGACAUACGAUAUUUUUGUUAUGCAAAUUAAGUCCACUUAGUGGAGUUCGGUGCAUAGGUGCGUUGACGUGUCACUCCAUUUUUGAAAGGUUCAGGAGUCAGACGCCAGUAUCGGCCUCCGCAGUUUGGGGGAAACUUUCUGUUGUUUAAUGUGAUUUAAACGUGGUUUUAUGUCCCGCCAGAAAAGAAUCGAAUAAAAUAUACGUUUAACGACGUUAUAUAUCGGUACGGCGGGAUGUGACGGUUUGUGUUCCUUCUUUCGACUAUCCAC
This is an RNA transcript of Lytechinus variegatus (green sea urchin), 5329 nucleotides long. RefSeq lists it as uncharacterized. The transcript has 2 exons. The record is from RefSeq and is a predicted model, not a curated record. NCBI's taxonomy places the organism in Eukaryota, Metazoa, Echinodermata, Echinoidea, Temnopleuroida, Toxopneustidae.